RNAcentral lists this unclassified non-coding RNA (403 nucleotides) under fungal sp. RNAcentral describes it as "partial internal transcribed spacer region". The stretch from base 1 to 46 matches the Rfam family "Eukaryotic small subunit ribosomal RNA", at positions 1786 to 1831 of the family's 1831-position model. The record is from RNAcentral. Lineage: Eukaryota; Fungi.
AAGUCGUAACAAGGUUUCCGUAGGUGAACCUGCGGAAGGAUCAUUAACACGUAUCCAAACGUAAAAAACCCCCCCCGUAACCGGCGUAGUUCGCAAUCUCUGGUAAAUCAUAGCCCGGAAAGUAGUUUUGAUUCAGAGACCUCUGGCUACGUGAGAACAUUGGACCAGUUACAAUCGAGCGGUAGUUUCAUAGGCAUUGUUUCCCCAAGCAGUUAGUGUCUGAAAGUGUCACUGAUUGUGCAAGGAUAGCGCUUCAACGAUUCCUGUAGACCGUACACUCGGGCAGGAGCUAUGCCAAAGGGUCCCCAUGCCCCCUUAUAACCCCACAGUUUAAUGUGAAGCUCAAUGUAAUACAUUGGGUAAAAAAACCGAACAACUGUUAACAAUGGAUAUCUUGGUUCUC